CCUACGGGGGUCAGCAGUGAGGAAUAUUGGUCAAUGGACGAGAGUCUGAACCAGCCAAGUAGCGUGAAGGAUGACUGCCCUAUGGGUUGUAAACUUCUUUUAUAUGGGAAUAAAACGUUCCACGUGUGGGAUUUUGUAUGUACCAUAUGAAUAAGGAUCGGCUAACUCCGUGCCAGCAGCCGCGGUAAUACGGAGGAUCCGAGCGUUAUCCGGAUUUAUUGGGUUUAAAUGGAGCGUAGGUGGAUUGUUAAGUCAGUUGUGAAAGUUUGCGGCUCAACCGUAAAAUUGCAGUUGAAACUGGCAGUCUUGAGUACAGUAGAGGUGGGCGGAAUUCGUGGUGUAGCGGUGAAAUGCUUAGAUAUCACGAAGAACUCCGAUUGCGAAGGCAGUUCACUGGACUGCAACUGACACUGAGGCUCGAAAGUGUGGGUAUCAAACAGGAGUAGAUACCCGUGUAGUC
This 460-nucleotide ribosomal RNA is filed under the name uncultured bacterium. RNAcentral's name for it is "partial 16S ribosomal RNA". It matches the Rfam family "Bacterial small subunit ribosomal RNA", at positions 338 to 795 of the family's 1533-position model. The record is from RNAcentral.